RNAcentral lists this ribosomal RNA (427 nucleotides) under uncultured bacterium. RNAcentral describes it as "partial 16S ribosomal RNA". It matches the Rfam family "Bacterial small subunit ribosomal RNA", at positions 355 to 774 of the family's 1533-position model. The record is from RNAcentral.
UGGGGAAUAUUGGACAAUGGGCGAAAGCCUGAUCCAGCCAUGCCGCGUGUGUGAAGAAGGUCUUCGGAUUGUAAAGCACUUUAAGUUGGGAGGAAGGGCAUUAACCUAAUACGUUAGUGUUUUGACGUUACCGACAGAAUAAGCACCGGCUAACUCUGUGCCAGCAGCCGCGGUAAUACAGAGGGUGCAAGCGUUAAUCGGAAUUACUGGGCGUAAAGCGCGCGUAGGUGGUUUGUUAAGUUGGAUGUGAAAUCCCCGGGCUCAACCUGGGAACUGCAUUCAAAACUGACUGACUAGAGUAUGGUAGAGGGUGGUGGAAUUUCCUGUGUAGCGGUGAAAUGCGUAGAUAUAGGAAGGAACACCAGUGGCGAAGGCGACGACCUGGACUAAUACUGACACUGAGGUGCGAAAGCGUGGGGAGCAAACA